RNAcentral lists this transfer RNA (72 nucleotides) under Camelus bactrianus (Bactrian camel). It matches the Rfam family "tRNA". From Rfam's summary of the family: Transfer RNA (tRNA) molecules are approximately 80 nucleotides in length. Their secondary structure includes four short double-helical elements and three loops (D, anti-codon, and T loops). Further hydrogen bonds mediate the characteristic L-shaped molecular structure. tRNAs have two regions of fundamental functional importance: the anti-codon, which is responsible for specific mRNA codon recognition, and the 3' end, to which the tRNAs corresponding amino acid is attached (by aminoacyl-tRNA synthetases). tRNAs cope with the degeneracy of the genetic code in two manners: having more than one tRNA (with a specific anti-codon) for a particular amino acid; and 'wobble' base-pairing, i.e. permitting non-standard base-pairing at the 3rd anti-codon position. Lineage: Eukaryota; Metazoa; Chordata; Mammalia; Artiodactyla; Camelidae. RNAcentral also lists the same sequence under 2 other names. The record is from Rfam by way of RNAcentral.
GAGGGUGUAGCUCAGUGGUAGAGCGCAUACUUAGCAUGUACAAGGUCCUGGAUUCAAUCCCCAGCAUCUCCA